GUUCAGUGGGUUAAGGAUCCAGUAGUGCUGCAAGCUGUGAUGUAGGCUGCAGAUGAAGCUCAAAUCUGGCAUUACUGUGGCUCUGGCUGUGGCCGGCAUUUGUGGCUCCGAUUUGACCCCUGACCUAGGAACUUCCAUAUGCCACAGGUGCGGGUUUAAAAAGAAAAAAAACAAAUUAUAUAUUUAUGUUUUUUAUCCGUCUAUUAGGUCUCAAAGUGUCCAUAAAAAUCUGAAUUACUUCAGGGUUUGACAGUUAAUCUAAAUAUCUUCCUCUGUCGUCGUCUUCUUUUUUUCUUCCUUUUCUUCUUUUUCUUUCUUCCUUUUUUGGCUGCCCUAUGGCAUGUGGAGUUCCCAGGCCAGCGGUCAGAUGUGAGCUGCAGUUGCGACCUAUGCCACAGCCGGGGCAACGCUGGAUCCUUUAACCCACUGUGCCAGACUGGGGAUCGAACCUGCAUCCUGGCGCUGUGGCGAUGCCGCCGAUCCCGUUGCACCACAGCAGGGACUCCUGUCUGCUUUUUUCAUAUUUAAAAUUUAAAAAAUUGAAGUACAAUUUACACAGAGCAAAGAGCCACCCUUUGUAGAGGUUUGAUCAUUUGCCUGCCGUCGUGUCAGCCCCAGUACCAUCAGCCGUUCCAUUACCUCCCACAUCCUCUCGUGGGCCCUUUGUAAUGGGCCCCUUCUCCCAAUCCCAGACCCAGCAACCAUCCAUCAGUUUUUCUGCCCCAUAGUUUUGCCUUUUCCAGAAUGUCGGAUAAACGGAAGCAUGCACUAUGCAGCCUUUUGAGCCUGGCUGCUUGCCCUGAGCGUGGUAUAUUUGCCCUGUGUCCUUUGUGUGGCCUGUCAUUGCUGAGUCACAGUCCAUCAUCUGGCACAGUUUAUUUGUCUCCCUCUCUGCUUUAAUCCUUCUCUUUUUAGUUCUGUGACAUCUCUUUCUAACAUUUUUGAUUUUUAAAUAUUUAAGUCUAUCCACCAGUCUUUUCCUGUGUAAUCACUGCUCUUGAGAAGAUUUUACUUAAGCCAUUCCUUUUGCAAACAGGAGAACCCUAAGAAGCCUAAUCCAUAUGUCUGUCCAUGCUCCUUUCAUAAAGUGGCUGUGAAUUGUCAUUUUCCACUACUAUGGACUGAAUCCUGGGCAUCUUGGACAAAGAGGCAUGAUCCUAGGAGCUCCCCCCAGCAGGGAGCUCUUGAUUUUAGUGGAAUUUUAGUAGUUAGUGGCAGAAACAAAACAUGUUCUCCUGGAGGUGGUGGUGGGGGGACGACCUGGUAGGGCAGGGGUGCAGCCACUCUGAGAAGGAUGAAGAAGUGAGCUGGCAUCUCACCAGGCUGGGGUCCCUUGGUACACUGAGAGCAAACAUCACUUUAAAUUCAAGGAAGUGGGGAGUUCCUUUUGUAGCUCAGUGGGUUAAGAACCCGACAUACUGUCUGUGAGGAUGCAGGUUUGAUCCCUGGCUUUGCUCAGUGGUUAAGGAUCCGGCAUUGCUGCAAGCUGCAGUGUAGGUCGCAGACAUGGCUCGGAUCUGGUGUUGUCAUGGCUGUGGUGCAGACGUAAGCUGCAGUUCCAAUUCGACCCCUAGCCCAGGAACUUCCAUGUGCUGCAGCUGCAGCUGUAAAAGGAAAACUAAAAUUGAAGGAAGUGGUUUGUUUUUAUACCAGCCGAAUACACACGUAAUCAGAUGUUCUCCUUGACAACUUCUGAAAGCAACCGAUGGAGUUUUUCUUUAUUCUGUUUGUUUGGNNNNNNNNNNNNNNNNNNNNNNNNNNNNNNNNNNNNNNNNNNNNNNNNGCGGGAUCCGAGCCGCGUCUGCAACCUACACCACAGCUCACGGCAACGCCGGAUCGUUAACCCACUGAGCAAGGGCAGGGACCGAACCCGCGACCUCAUGGUUCCUAGUCGGAUUCGUUAACCACUGCGCCACGACGGGAACUCCCGAUGGAGUUUUUCUUUGUCCAGGCCAUUAUUAGGAUUGGGCUUUCAUUGCUUGGAGAUAGGGGAGCAUCCCAUAAGCAUUUGGGACCCGAUUUACAUAAGGACUCUGGUAACCUGCAGGAAGGGGAGCCUGGGACAAAGAUUCUGUUUGUUUGGGUUUUUUUUCCAGAGCUCCAGACACGGCCAGAGAUGCAUGAGGAAUCUCUGUAUUCCCCUUGGAAGAUGCCUUGAUGAACAGAAAUAGCCGCUUUGAGCCCCAGAAUUAAUGCCGUUGCCACCACUAGACUCUAACUUCCAUGACGGCAGGGGCCAUGUCUCUUUCUGUUUCUCUCAUAUCGCAGAACCGAGUGCUUGAUAAAUAUUUUAUUAAGGGGAUGGACGAACGAACAGAUGAACUAAUGACCUGAAAACUUUUUGGUUCACUUCUUAAAGCAGCAAAGGCAGGCAUCGCCGAAGUCUAUUCGGGGAGCAGACCAUGUACCUGUGUACUGAGAAAUGGGUUAGGAAGGCAGACCUGGAGCUGGGGCAAAGGAGCCACCUAAAAGGCUUUUGGCUUCAGCAUCCAAGACGCCAAAGGUGUAGAUGAGAAGUGAGCCCAAACCUGUGCUCAGGGUUCAGCAAUGUCCAGUGCUCCACGAGGAGUUACGGAGGGUCUACCACUGGUUCACUUUGACAGCCAAGGCUGGGAAGGUGGGGCUCAGCCCGAUGGGGGUUCUCUCCUAGAGGUAGGGGGAGGGGAGAGUCAAAGGAACAGACGUGAGACAGCUCCUUGGCACAAGAAGCUGCCCCGACUGGGCUCUUAUUGGAGUAAAACCCUGUCAAGCAUCUGAGCCUAUUUCCUGAGUCCUGACACUCUCGUUCCCAUCCGUCCUUUCUUCCUUGUAAGAUGCCUGGUAGGAGCUGAGUCUUCUGCCAGCGGAGGGUCAUGGAGGUUGUCCUCACAGACUGUUAUUCUCAGCCUAAUCUGAGUGACACUGAGCAGUGUGACUUUCUGAGUCCCAGUGUGUUGCAAACCUGGGGGAGCGGGUCCCUGGGUCCCUGGAUCCCUUGAAUAAGGGGAGAGGGACAUGUCCUUGGGUUGGCAGGUGCUGCGAGUGGAGGGGGUACAAGCCUAAACGCCUGUGUGAACCCACUCCUUAGUUUCUGCUGGUUGGUGGAUUUUGAGUGUUGAUACUGUGUGGACAAAACAAUACAUUGUUUAGCUUUUUCUCUGUAACCAUUUGAUUCAGAAUUAGGUGAGAGUCCUAAACCCAGGAUCCAAGCAGAGAAAUAGCUAAUGACCAACGUGGAGGGACUUGAUAGGAACAGAUGCUAUUCAGGGCACCUGACAGCCAGCCACAAAUGGCAGUAACACAAACUACACUCCCCUCCCCCAUGUUGGCCUCCAGCUGGAAUCCCAAGAAGCCUGGAGCUCCGAGUGUCCAAAAUCACACUCCUCCCAUCCCCGGGUGUCCACCCUCUUGGUGACUAAGGCCACGAAGAGAUCUACAUGUCUGCGUGGAAACCCAUGUGUCACCUCCGUGUCCUUCUCCCCUUCAUGCCAUACCCAGCCACUCCCCGGGUCCUGGUGACCCUGCCUCCGAAAUGUCUCUCCAGUCCUUUUCCUUCCUUGCCGUCGAGGCUCCGGCUGUAUGAUCCUCUUUCGUUCCUCCAGUGUGUGGGCCACUGUCUGCAUUUCCCCUCCAGCCCAGCCGUCGUGGCUCUGUCAUUCCCAUUGCUGGCUAGUUCCUGCCCAUCUGUGAGGUCUGUUCAGACGUCUCUCCUUGCCCCCCAAAGCUGGCAGGGUCGGGGGUGGGGGGGCUUCCCCUGCAUCCCUCUUGUGUCCCCUCUUUUCCUCCGCAUGGCAGGUGUCAGGCCAUAUCAUCAUUGCCUGUUGAUUGUGUGACUUCAUUGCCUAGCACAGAGCCUCACACCUCGUGCGUACUUAGUAAAUGUUAUGCCAAGGUUGACUGAACAAAAACAAGAGAGAGAUUGGCUUGGCACCAAAUGAGUCUCUCAAGACCCGAGCGGUUCCCAGGAUGUAUAAAUGAGAAGAUUAUAACUUUCUGGGUAAUGAUAAUUUUAUUUCGAAUCCCCACCCUUCUUUGCUGUCCCUUCUCCUUUUCUUCCUCCUUUCUCUUUGGGCUUAUGUAUUUUCUAAAAUUUCUAUGAUCAACACAUAUUUAUUCUGCAGUAAUACAAGAAAAAAUGAGUCAUCGAUUUUAUCUCCACAAGGAGUGAAUUUUGGAGUUCCCAUCGUGGCUCCGCGGGUUAAGAACCCAACGUAGUGUCUGCAAGGAUGAGGGUUCGAUCCCUGGCCUCACUCAGCAGGUUAGGGAUCUGGUGUUGCUGCGGCUGUGGUGUAGGCUCUGAUUCAACCCCUAGCCUGGGAAUUUCCAUAUGCCAUCAACACAACCUUUAAAAAA
This 4332-nucleotide long non-coding RNA is filed under the name Sus scrofa (pig). RNAcentral's name for it is "lncRNA (ENSSSCG00050001196.1)". The record is from RNAcentral. Lineage: Eukaryota; Metazoa; Chordata; Mammalia; Artiodactyla; Suidae.